RNAcentral lists this ribosomal RNA (204 nucleotides) under uncultured Eubacterium sp. Its description in RNAcentral is "partial 16S ribosomal RNA". It matches the Rfam family "Bacterial small subunit ribosomal RNA", at positions 642 to 844 of the family's 1533-position model. Lineage: Bacteria; Bacillati; Bacillota; Clostridia; Eubacteriales; Eubacteriaceae. The record is from RNAcentral.
UUGAGUACGGGAGAGGAAAGUGGAAUUCCUGGUGUAGCGGUGAAAUGCGUAGAUAUCAGGAGGAACACCGGUGGCGAAGGCGGCUUUCUGGUCCGAUACUGACGCUGAGGCGCGAAAGCGUGGGGAGCAAACAGGAUUAGAUACCCUGGUAGUCCACGCCGUAAACGAUGGGCACUAGGUGUUGGGGGUAUUGACCCCUUCUGU